Schistosoma rodhaini is the source of this 75-nucleotide non-coding RNA. The record is from Rfam. Lineage: Eukaryota; Metazoa; Platyhelminthes; Trematoda; Strigeidida; Schistosomatidae.
AGACCUUUCAAUCCGUGCCGAGAUUUCGUCAGAUACCAGACCAUCGGUACUGAUGGGACUCGCAAGAUAAGCUCA